RNAcentral lists this transfer RNA (67 nucleotides) under marine eukaryotic metagenome. It matches the Rfam family "tRNA". From Rfam's summary of the family: Transfer RNA (tRNA) molecules are approximately 80 nucleotides in length. Their secondary structure includes four short double-helical elements and three loops (D, anti-codon, and T loops). The record is from RNAcentral.
CCUUUAGCUCAGUUGGUAGAGCAGGAGACUCUUAAUCUCUUGGUCGUGAGUUCGAGUCUCACAGGGC